Molecule: long non-coding RNA, 413 nt
Filed under: Phoenix dactylifera (date palm)
Lineage: Eukaryota; Viridiplantae; Streptophyta; Magnoliopsida; Arecales; Arecaceae
Description: long non-coding RNA (PDAC_LNC014657)
Source: RNAcentral
UGGGCGGCACCUAGGGCAAACUUGGUCCUCCUCCUCUUCAAGCCGUACGCCUCCCUCUCCUCUCCUCUUGGUUCAACCGCAAGCAACGGAAGAAAAGGAAAAGCCAUCGGCGGCCCCCUCCUCUUCUCUUCCUCCUUCCAACGCAAGGAAAAGGGAGUAGGCUGCAAGGGCUUUGGUUCUUCAUCCAGUUGCCUUCUUCUUCUUCCUCCUCUCAAGCAAAAUCAAGGGUUGAUUGAUAGAGAGGAAAUCAGCCAUCAAAAGAAGUCUUUGCAAGGGAGCUAGCACCCUGGAAAGACAAGAAAGCUUUGAUCGGUCCUCUGCAUCGUGUGGAUACCCGUAGAGGCCGGACGUUUGAACGGCUUCAAACGAACCUUCAUCCUAAAACCACGAACUUCAGUUUGUGGUGAUCAUCU